RNAcentral lists this ribosomal RNA (259 nucleotides) under uncultured bacterium. RNAcentral's name for it is "partial 16S ribosomal RNA". It matches the Rfam family "Bacterial small subunit ribosomal RNA", at positions 524 to 778 of the family's 1533-position model. The record is from RNAcentral.
UACGUAGGGGGCAAGCGUUGUCCGGAAUCAUUGGGCGUAAAGCGCGUGUAGGCGGCUUUGGUAAGUCUGCUCUGAAACCCUCAGGCUCAACCUGGGGACGCCACCCGAUACUGCUGUGGCUAGAGUCCAGUAGGGGAGUGUGGAAUUCCCGGUGUAGCGGUGAAAUGCGCAGAUAUCGGGAGGAACACCAGCGGCGGAAGGCGGCACUCUGGGCUGGAACUGACGCUGAGGAGCGAAAAGCGUGGGUACGCAACGAGAG